RNAcentral lists this ribosomal RNA (440 nucleotides) under uncultured bacterium. Its description in RNAcentral is "partial 16S ribosomal RNA". It matches the Rfam family "Bacterial small subunit ribosomal RNA", at positions 338 to 795 of the family's 1533-position model. The record is from RNAcentral.
CCUACGGGUAGCUGCAGUGGGGAAUAUUGCACAAUGGGGGAAACCCUGAUGCAGCGAAGCCGCGUGAGCGAAGAAGUAUUUCGGUAUGUAAAGCUCUAUCAGCAGGGAAGAAAAUGACGGUACCUGAGUAGGAAGCUCCGGCGAAACACGUGCCAGCAGCCGCGGUAAUACGGAGGGAGCAAGCGGUAACCGGAUUUACUGGGCUUAAAUGGGGCGUAGGCGGCCUGCCAAGGCUGAUGGGAAAUACCGGGGCUCAACCCCGGGGGUGCAUUGGAAACUGGCAGGCUGGAGUGCCGGAGAGGCAGGCGGAAUGCGUAGUGUAGCGGUGAAAUGCGUAGAUAUUAGGAGGAACACCAGUGGCGAAGGCGGCCUGCUGGACGGUGACUGACGCUGAGGCUCGAAAGCGUGGGGAGCGAACAGGAUUAGAUACCCGGGUAGUC